UAGAGUUUGAUCAUGGCUCAGGAUGAACGCUAGCGACAGGCUUAACACAUGCAAGUCGAGGGGCAGCGGGGAGGUAGCAAUACUUCCGCCGGCGACCGGCGCACGGGUGAGUAACACGUAUGGAACCUGCCCGUAGCAGGGGGAUAAACGGAAGAAAUUCCGUCUAAUACCGCGUAAUAACUCCGAGAGGCAUCUCAUGGAGUUUAAAGGGUAACACCGGCUACGGAUGGCCAUGCGGCGCAUUAGCUAGUUGGCGGGGUAACGGCCCACCAAGGCGACGAUGCGUAGGGGUUCUGAGAGGAAGGUCCCCCACACUGGUACUGAGACACGGACCAGACUCCUACGGGAGGCAGCAGUGAGGAAUAUUGGUCAAUGGGCGCGAGCCUGAACCAGCCAAGUCGCGUGAGGGAAGACGGUCCUAUGGAUUGUAAACCUCUUUUGUCGGGGAGCAAAAGACGCCACGUGUGGCGUUCCGAGAGUACCCGAAGAAAAAGCAUCGGCUAACUCCGUGCCAGCAGCCGCGGUAAUACGGAGGAUGCGAGCGUUAUCCGGAUUUAUUGGGUUUAAAGGGUGCGCAGGCGGAAGAUCAAGUCAGCGGUAAAAUUGAGAGGCUCAACCUCUUCGAGCCGUUGAAACUGGGUGCCUUGAGUGGGCGAGAAGUACGCGGAAUGCGUGGUGUAGCGGUGAAAUGCAUAGAUAUCACGCAGAACUCCGAUUGCGAAGGCAGCGUACCGGCGCCCAACUGACGCUGAAGCACGAAGGCGUGGGUAUCGAACAGGAUUAGAUACCUUGGUAGUCCACGCAGUAAACGAUGAAUGCUAGUUGUCCGGGGCGAUUGAGUUCUGGGUGACACAGCGAAAGCGUUAAGCAUUCCACCUGGGGAGUACGCCGGCAACGGUGAAACUCAAAGGAAUUGACGGGGGCCCGCACAAGCGGAGGAACAUGUGGUUUAAUUCGAUGAUACGCGAGGAACCUUACCCGGGCUCAAACGCCGAAGGAACAUUCCCCGAAAGGGGAAUGGCCAGCAAUGGUCUUCGGCGAGGUGCUGCAUGGUUGUCGUCAGCUCGUGCCGUGAGGUGUCGGCUUAAGUGCCAUAACGAGCGCAACCCCCACCGACAGUUGCUAACUGGUCAAGCAGAGGACUCUGUCGGGACUGCCGGCGCAAGCUGCGAGGAAGGCGGGGAUGACGUCAAAUCAGCACGGCCCUUACGUCCGGGGCGACACACGUGUUACAAUGGCAGGUACAGCGGGAUGCCAUGGGGCGACCCAGAGCGGAACCCGAAAACCUGUCUCAGUUCGGAUUGGAGUCUGCAACCCGACUCCAUGAAGCUGGAUUCGCUAGUAAUCGCGCAUCAGCCACGGCGCGGUGAAUACGUUCCCGGGCCUUGUACACACCGCCCGUCAAGCCAUGGAAGCCGGGGGUGCCUGAAGUGCGUGACCGCAAGGAGCGCCCUAGGGUAAAACCGGUGACUGGGGCUAAGUCGUAACAAGGUAACCGUA
Molecule: ribosomal RNA, 1500 nt
Filed under: uncultured bacterium
Lineage: Bacteria
Description: 16S ribosomal RNA
Rfam family: Bacterial small subunit ribosomal RNA
Source: RNAcentral